RNAcentral lists this unclassified non-coding RNA (274 nucleotides) under plant metagenome. RNAcentral's name for it is "partial contains small subunit ribosomal RNA and internal transcribed spacer 1". The stretch from base 1 to 46 matches the Rfam family "Eukaryotic small subunit ribosomal RNA", at positions 1786 to 1831 of the family's 1831-position model. The record is from RNAcentral.
AAGUCGUAACAAGGUCUCCGUUGGUGAACCAGCGGAGGGAUCAUUACUGAGUUCUACAAAAACUCCCACCCUUUGUGUACCGUACCGUCGUUGCCUCGGCGCCGAGCAGCUACCCUGGAAGAGCUACCCGGGAGGACCUACCCUGUAGAUGUUUCGGCACCUACCCGGUACGACCUACCCUGGAGCUACCCUGGAGAAGCACCUACGCUCCGCCGGUGGACCAUGCAACUCUUGUUUUUUACAGUGUAUCUCUGAGAAAUAACAAAUAGUUAAA